GCAACUCUUCUUAAAGUUCAAGAUUUUGUAUUUCGUUACCUAUACCACAUGCAUGCAUAUUACAUGUUUUUGUGUACAUAUAUGUAUGACUACUAUAGAAGAGGGAGGGGCGUGAAUAUAUUCUUAUUUAUAAAAAGGGAAAAUAUUAUAAAACUAUAUAUUGUAGCCAAGUGGGGAAGGGUGCUCCUUACUAAACGAAGCUUCUGCACUGAACCUUGACACAACGGUAUGUUUCUUAGCAAGUCCAGGAAAUCAAAUUAGCUCCUGGAAAAUAUUAUGCCUAAAAGUAGAUAGGAGCGAGUAGAUUGUUAUGGUAUCCGGACAACCAGGAGAACUGCAUUAGAAUAACUUAAAAGUAGAUAUAUGGGUUAAUUCACUUUCACAGCUUGAAAGUGAUCAUCACAUAAAACACAUCGACAAGCCUGGUUGAUAUCAAAAGCACAAAUCGGAUAUCUGAGAAAUGAGAUACUGCAAGGCGUCAACAAUGCUUCAAAAUAAAGAGUUAUAUCUUUGAAUAAUACCCAGUUGUCCAUGAGCCAAAACUGGCUUAAAGACUGACCUGCAUUGUUUUGCACCACUAAGCCUAAUCAAGUAAAUCGAAGGCAUACUUGCACUAAUCAAAGCAGCAAGAUGAAUGACGGGAAAUUUCUUGUUUCAAAGUUAGCAGAAAAUGCUACAAUAAAUCAUUAGAUGAAGCAGUGAAGAAGGAGUCAUUAAUAAUAAAUAGAAUCAGGCAUAUCUGUUCAUUUUUGUCCGAAUAUGAGUAUAGAGUUGUAACUGUUGCUUGAGGUGAACCAUCAAGGUGAAGAGAAACAGAGAAUUGUCGAAACUAGGGCCCAGGUGCUAAUUUCAUACCACAAAUACCUUUAUCUAGUUUACAACCUCUUUAAGAGAUACAUGUAGAGCCUGAUCAAUAAGCCAAGCAAACAUAAAUAAACUGACAAGAAAUGCAGAAUAGAAACUGUGAAUUAGGAAUGGAACAAUAUCCACAACGCCAAGAACCAAACAAAAGAACUGAUAAUGAAAUCCUUGGUAGGAUAUACCUGAAAAGCAGAAACAACGCUGAAUAUGUAAGUAAAACAAUCGAUAGUUUCUAAUUUGAGAUCUUUCAGAAUUAAAGAUCCUAAAUUAUGCAAGUGAAAGUUUAAACUCUAGUUUAAAACAAGCAAAAAGCAUUUUUACAGGAUUCAACCAUUUAUACUUGAGAAGAGUGUAUGUUGCAUAGAAAUUCAUGAAAAUACAAUUAUCAACUUAUUCCAUCAAUUGCCUAAAUAUUCUAAUACAUAUGCUAUUUAAAAAGUUUCAAUUACAACCUUCUAAAAUAUCAUAUUUGCCACAAAAACAAAAACAAGAUAAGAGAUGCUGAGUGAUUUUCUAGGCAAAAGGCAAGAUAGCAGGACACAAGUGAUCUGGCAUUAUGCUGUUAUGUAUAAAAUGUCACUGACCUGAUUUUGAACACAUUGACAGAACUUGAGCUUCCCUACACAGCAUGGCCGCAGCUAAACUCACGAUGUUUGUGGGAAAAUGUCACUGGAGCAGUGCAAGUUGGUUUCCUCGGAAUUGUAGUACUCCAACUAAUACAAAAAUAUAUUUGCCUACUUUGGAAAGACAAAACAAAACUCACAGAUCAGAUCUCAGAGAAUGAUCACUCUCCCAUCACAUUGAGCAUCCCCUACAAAGCCAGUAUAGUUUCUUCCAUAUUGCUACUGUGCGUUCAUUCUUCUGUGUUACUGAUGUUGUUAAAUGGUAGUGAAACACACUGUACUUCCACAAUUCAAGCUUUUUCAUCAGAGAUUAUGCAUGUGGUGUCAUGGGCAAUUACAUUGAUCAUCAUAUCCAGGAUCCCUCAUACCAAGCGUGCCAAGUUCCCGUGGGUGAUAAGGGCAUGGUGGCUUUGUGGCUUCCUACUGUCUACUACCUGCAUAGCAAUUGACAUCCAUUUCAAAAUUUCAAACCAUAGACAAUUCGCUGUACGAGAUUAUGCAGACUUUGUUGGUCUUCUUGCAUCAACAUAUUUAUUGGCUUUGUCAAUCUGGGGAAAGACAGGAUUACAUGUUGUUAUCCCCAAAGAAAUCAAUGAGCCGCUGCUCAAUGGAAAAAAUGAUAAAGAUAUGAGAGACAAAAGGAAAUCCCUAUAUGGAAAAGCUACAUUUCUCCAGCUCGUAACGUUUUCCUGGCUCAAUCCACUGUUCGCUGUUGGGAUCAAGAAACCACUUGAANNNNN
Molecule: long non-coding RNA, 2224 nt
Filed under: Carica papaya (papaya)
Lineage: Eukaryota; Viridiplantae; Streptophyta; Magnoliopsida; Brassicales; Caricaceae
Description: long non-coding RNA (CPAP_LNC009302)
Source: RNAcentral